Ctenopharyngodon idella (grass carp) is the source of this 368-nucleotide long non-coding RNA. RefSeq lists it as uncharacterized. The record is from RefSeq and is a predicted model, not a curated record. The transcript is spliced from 3 exons. NCBI's taxonomy places the organism in Eukaryota, Metazoa, Chordata, Actinopteri, Cypriniformes, Xenocyprididae.
UUUGUUUCCUCCUACUUUAGCAUAGAUGCGUCCCGUGAAGAUGGCUCACUGGGAAGGCUGGUGAAUGAUUGCCACAAGUCACCAAAUUGUAAAAUGAAAAGGUUGACAGUCCAGGGUAAACCUCAUCUUUGCUUAUUCGCAAUUGAAAACAUCCAAGCAGAGACUGAAAUAACCUACGAUUAUGGAGAUUCUCAAUGGCCAUGGCGUAAUCUGACACCAAGUGGCAUGAUCCAGUCUCAACCUUCAGGAGACCCAGAAGUGAGCGAGAGAUCCAGUUCGACCUUCCAACAGACACCAAGUGGCAUGAUCCAGUCUCAACCUUCAGGAGACCCAGAAGUGAGCGAGAGAUCCAGUUCGACCUUCCAACA